This 393-nucleotide ribosomal RNA is filed under the name uncultured bacterium. Its description in RNAcentral is "bacterial SSU rRNA". It matches the Rfam family "Bacterial small subunit ribosomal RNA", at positions 364 to 774 of the family's 1533-position model. The record is from RNAcentral.
UUGGACAAUGGGCGCAAGCCUGAUCCAGCCAUGCCGCGUGAGUGAAGAAGGCCUUAGGGUUGUAAAGCUCUUUUGGCAGGGACGAUAAUGACGGUACCUGCAGAAUAAGCCCCGGCAAACUUCGUGCCAGCAGCCGCGGUAAUACGAAGGGGGCUAGCGUUGUUCGGAUUUACUGGGCGUAAAGCGCACGUAGGCGGAUUGUUAAGUCAGGGGUGAAAUCCCGGAGCUCAACUCCGGAACUGCCUUUGAUACUGGCAAUCUUGAGGCUGGAAGAGGUUGGUAGAAUUCCCAGUGUAGAGGUGCAAUUCGUAGAUAUUGGUAAGAAUCCCAGUGGCGAAGGCGGCCAACUGGUCCAGAUCUGACGCUGAGGUGCGAAAGCGUGGGGAGCAAACA